RNAcentral lists this ribosomal RNA (240 nucleotides) under uncultured bacterium. RNAcentral describes it as "partial 16S ribosomal RNA". It matches the Rfam family "Bacterial small subunit ribosomal RNA", at positions 524 to 765 of the family's 1533-position model. The record is from RNAcentral.
UACGUAGGGUGCAAGCGUUGUCCGGAAUUAUUGGGCGUAAAGCGCACGUAGGCGGAUCGAUCAGUCAGGGGUGAAAUCCCAGAGCUCAACUCUGGAACUGCCUUUGAUACUGGGUACCUAGAGUAUGGAAGAGGUGAGUGGAAUUCCGAGUGUAGAGGUGAAAUUCGUAGAUAUUCGGAGGAACACCAGUGGCGAAGGCGGCUCUCUGGGACGGUAUGACGUGAGACGCGAAAGCGUGGG